GAACAUGAUCUUAUAUUGAAUUACUGUAUAUGUAGUGAGGUGUGCCGUGACUAAAACGUCAUCCUUAUUAACUACAUGGCCAAUGGGCUCUCUCCCUACCAUAGUAUAUAAGCUGUUGUUUAGGCCUCACGGAAUGCGUCAUGAUCGAAAACCCACGCCUUCUUUUCGUUGCUACGGACUACAGAGAGUGACGUUAGGCUGCCGAGACUGUGCAUGUGUGGUGUGCCGUCAGGGCUCUCAACUGUGUAGCAUGGUAGUUUAACGUAGCUCCGGUCGGAGCACCAGCUGUUGCCGUCACAACUAUUAAAGACGCUAUCAUGAUUUUCGGAUGUUCCAUUGUGAGUAUAAUGUCAUCGGAUCACGGGUCCUCGAUUUUGCAUGCGUUAAGGCGGGCUGAGUGAGAUGUGGUCAUAUCGGUAUAACGCCUCCCCCUCAUUCGUGAAGCCACGUUGCUGCUUGGUUGCUUUGGGGCUGCUUGCUGUUUGGUUUUGCUGCUUGAUGGUCUGAUUUGGUUUUAUUUUGUUCUGCUUUGUUUCGUUAUUUUGUUUUGUGUUGGUUACUGUCACUAAUAUGAGUUUUCUUUAAUUAACUGUGUUGUAACAGUCUUUAUCAGUUAUGCUGAUACUGCUAUGUGGUACUAGUGGUUUUGGUCAGUCUUGGUAAACUUGCUACCAGUAAUCAGUUUGAGUGUGAGGUUGUGUGUUUUUGUGACAGUAAGUUUGUCUUUGUUUUGUUUUAUUCUGUUGUUUGUCAGAUUUGAGCGUAUUGUAAUUGAUUUUGUGUGUUUUUGUUAUCU
This is a long non-coding RNA of Ictalurus punctatus (channel catfish), 796 nucleotides long. RefSeq lists it as uncharacterized. The record is from RefSeq and is a predicted model, not a curated record. Lineage: Eukaryota; Metazoa; Chordata; Actinopteri; Siluriformes; Ictaluridae. The transcript has 3 exons.